RNAcentral lists this ribosomal RNA (460 nucleotides) under uncultured bacterium. RNAcentral describes it as "partial 16S ribosomal RNA". It matches the Rfam family "Bacterial small subunit ribosomal RNA", at positions 338 to 795 of the family's 1533-position model. The record is from RNAcentral.
CCUACGGGGGGCUGUAGUGAGGAAUAUUGGUCAAUGGACGAGAGUCUGAACCAGCCAAGUAGCGUGAAGGAUGACUGCCCUAUGGGUUGUAAACUUCUUUUAUAUGGGAAUAAAAUGUUCCACGUGUGGGAUUUUGUAUGUACCAUAUGAAUAAGGAUCGGCUAACUCCGUGCCAGCAGCCGCGGUAAUACGGAGGAUCCGAGCGUUAUACGGAUUUAUUGGGUUUAAAGGGAGCGUAGGUGGAUUGUUAAGUCAGUUGUGAAAGUGUGCGGCUCAACCGUAAAAUUGCAGUUGAAACUGGCAGUCUUGAGUACAGUAGAGGUGGGCGGAAUUCGUGGUGUAGCGGUGAAAUGCUUAGAUAUCACGAAGAACUCCGAUUGCGAAGGCAGUUCACUGGACUGCAACUGACACUGAGGCUCGAAAGUGUGGGUAUCAAACAGGAUUAGAUACCCUAGUAGUC